This 422-nucleotide ribosomal RNA is filed under the name uncultured bacterium. RNAcentral's name for it is "bacterial SSU rRNA". It matches the Rfam family "Bacterial small subunit ribosomal RNA", at positions 355 to 774 of the family's 1533-position model. The record is from RNAcentral.
UGAGGAAUAUUGGUCAAUGGACGGAAGUCUGAACCAGCCAUGCCGCGUGAAGGAUGAAGGCGUUCUGCGUUGUAAACUUCUUUUAUCUGGGAAGAAACCACAGAUUUCUAUUUGUGUUGACGGUACCAGAGGAAUAAGCACCGGCUAACUCCGUGCCAGCAGCCGCGGUAAUACGGAGGGUGCGAGCGUUAUCCGGAUUUACUGGGUUUAAAGGGUGCGUAGGCGGGCUAUUAAGUCAGAGGUGAAAUCUCCGGGCUCAACCUGGAAACUGCCUUUGAUACUAUUAGCCUUGAAUUAUGUUGAGGUUGGCGGAAUAUGACAUGUGGCGGUGAAAUGCUUAGAUAUGUUAUGGAACACCGAUUGCGAAGGCAGCUGGCUAAACAUAUAUUGACGCUGAUGCACGAAAGCGUGGGUAGCGAACA